This is a long non-coding RNA of Haplochromis burtoni (Burton's mouthbrooder), 3505 nucleotides long. RefSeq lists it as uncharacterized. NCBI's taxonomy places the organism in Eukaryota, Metazoa, Chordata, Actinopteri, Cichliformes, Cichlidae. The transcript is spliced from 3 exons. The record is from RefSeq and is a predicted model, not a curated record.
GCUCCUGAUUGGUUGUCGCGGCGCGAUUUGACGCUGGAGUUCAGAUUUUUCCAACUCAAGCGGUAGACGCAAAACGCGCGAAUGCACAAAAUGCAACACGAAAACUCACGCAGUUUUAUUUGUGAGUCAAACGCGCCAGACGCGCUACACUGACACGCGUUUCAGGCUUUUUUGCGUUUUCGCGUUUUCGCGACGCAAAUCUGCUUCCGAAUUUUCGCGGGACCCGCAAUUGCGUGUCAUCGCGCCUUUCCAUUGACUUUACAUGUAAACCUGACGCUCUAUUCGCGUCCAUCGCGUUCGGUGUGAACACACCGUCAGAGUUUGUUGGUUGUUCUCAGAACACGUCUGAAGAUGAAAGGGGGCGGAGCCUUUCAGUCUGUGGCACCAAGGCUGUGGAACAGUCUACCUCUACAACUAUGUUUGGUUGAAUCUGUGGAAUCCUUUAAAAAACAGUUAAAAACUUUACUGUUUAAACAAGCUUUCUGUUGACCAAUGAUUUUUACAUUUUUUAUAUUUUUAAUUUACAUUUAAACUCUAUAUUGUGUAUAGUGUCCAUUUUGCUAUUUAUCGUACUGUUUAUUUUAAUCUCUGUGUGCAGCGCUUUGUGACUACCUGUCUAUGAAAAGCGCUUAAUAAAUAAACUUUACUUACUUACUUAAGCAGGAAAUGACUGACUUUGUUACUAAGAUGCCCACUGUCAUAUUCCAGAAUCAGGUUCUAAAAUUCGCAAAUGGAUCUGAGACUUUUCCUUUCUUUAUAAUGAGUCAGAAAAUAUGUUUUUAGUAGGUCUACAGUUUGCUUUAACACAUUCUAAACCAGCAUGUGAAGAUACAAAGACUAAGUGCUGCUCUUCAGUAUACAUCCUGAAACUAGCCAAUGGAAAAAGGGUGUUUAGGAAGGGUGGACUUAAAGGGAAGAAGCUAAAGCUUGUUUCGGUCAGGGGUCUUUCCAUCUGAUCUAUUUUUUCUUUAUUUUUUAACAACCUUUUCUCCACUACUAUUUCCAAUUGAAUAUUAAAAAGUAUAUAUUAUGUUCCAAAGUUCACUACAAUGGCAAUUUGCCAGCUCCUCAUUUGUUUCCAUUUAGCUACUGUUGAAAUUCGUUCGAUUUGGGUAAGAGAAGAAAGCAGGCUGAGUCCCGGUAGGUGUCAAAAAUAGUGAUCUUUAUUACACACUUGCGCAAAGUGUGGGAAGAAAACUUGCAACAACAUUCUCCGCCGAGCGGACGCUCUCCAUCCUUAUAUUACCCAUGAUGACGUCACACAGUUAGACCUUACUGGAAAUGAUAACAGUUCCCCACACUCAAAAAGUUCUCCUUAUAUAGACAUCAGAUGCUACUUUAGAGACAACAAGUGUGUGAUAUGUUGUGCAUUUUGUGAAACUGUGUGUCCUUAUAGAGAGGAUGUCCUGACACGACCUCCCCUUUCUUAAUAAAUGUGUGUGUGAACGUGCGUGUGUUACAUGACUCUCUGUGCAUGUUGGUGUAAGUAAGCCUGAGUACGUGCAGAACUGAAUGUAGUAGGCCCAAGGUCCAACAGGACCCACAUCUUCGAGAGGUGUGAACACAAUGAUGUGGUGCAACAGCUUAUGCAGAUAGAAAGAAUGAUACAGAGCAACCAUAGACUGAUUAAAGUAAUGAGAAUAUGUGUACAUUAAUAUUUUGCUCAGAUUAACAUAGAUAUAAUUCAAAGAUUAUUCUGUCAACAGAUUCAACAAUGCUGAAUGCUUGAUCAAUAAUAGUUCUGAUUAUAAACUGUCACCAUAAGAAUACAAAAUAAAAUAUCUCUUGUCCACACUACUCUUAUAACUAUGUUUUUACUAAGCCAACUACAAGUGGGUUUUUCUCCAGACAUAAAUAUAUUUUUUUAGCUAACCAUGAAUUGUAUUCUCCACUAAGACUUUUUAUAAUGUUACUUUUACAGACUGAAUCUCUGUAACCUGUCAGAGGAACGCAAUGAAGCUCUGUCCUCAGCUCUCAGCUCCCAGUCCUCCUGUCUGAGAGAGCUGGACCUGAAUAACUCUGACCUGCAGGAUUCAGGAACAAAGUUUCUUUCUGAUGGACUGAAGAGUCCACACUGUAAACUGAAUAUUCUCAGACUGAGUCACUGUAACCUCUCAGAGAAAGGCUAUGAAGAUCUGUCCUCAGUUCUAAGCUCCCAGUCCUCUAGUCUGAGACAGCUGGACCUAAGUAACUGUGACCUGCAGGACUCAGGAGUGAAGCUUCUGUCUGCUGGAGUAAAGAGUCCCAACUGUACACUGGAAACUCUAAGUCUGUCAGGCUGUCUGAUCACAGAGGAAGGCUGUACUUCUCUGGCCUCAGCUCUGACCUCCAACCCCUCCCAUCUGAGAGAGCUGGACCUGAGCUACAAUCAUCCAGGUCACUCAGGAAUGAAGCUGCUGUCGGUUGGACAGAAGGAUCUAGGCUGGAGACUUGACACUCUCAGGUAUGAAGAAUGUCUGAUAGAGGAGGAAGAGCUGGAAACAUUUCCAGAUGAGACAUGAACAAUCACACAUGCAGGAAUAUUUUCAGGGACAGACACACUAGUGUAGCUGGAUAGUAUGGAUAUUUAUGUAGGGGGUCUCCAAGGAGUCUGUUUGCAGGGACAUUAAUGAUAACUGAUAAGUCAUGUUGAGAGUUUCAUUAAAAGUAGACCUACAGUUAGGUCCAUAAAUAUUUGGACAGAGACAACAUUUUGUAACUUUAGAUACACUUUAUUAGUUCACAGGUGUAUCUGAGAUAGUGGCCACUGUGUACCUAAUAAAGUGUCAGCCAUGUGUGUGUUUCCCAUGCUGUAUGUCCACAGUCACAGUGACAGUCAGUGACACUGACAGAAGGAUGAAACAAGGCUGUGAAUCAUUUCAGUCUGUGUGUGUGUGACAAAGAGGCAGACAGGAGCAGCUAACAUUUGGAAAUGGAAGCUUAAAUAAUGACAAACUCUAUACUCACAGCUGAAUUCACAAUAGAUUUGUUCUCGUGCACAUUUAGCAGCUAAUGCUAAUACUGUUUUCCCUUUGCUUUCUACAACUUGAGCAGCUAUUGCUAAGUAGGCCACUUUGCUCUGCUAACGAUUUGUGUGACCAUGAUGGAAACUCUGAAAGCUAAUGCUGCUAAGCUAAUACUGUUUAUGGGACCCUGUUAGAAUCAAUAUUUCAUUUUCAUUCUGUAGUUUGAGAACAAUAUUAACGUCUCACAUCAUUAUAACACAAGAGAAAAGGGUAUUAGCAUUAGCUACUAGUGCGUAUUCACCUCAAAUUAGCUUUAGCUGUUAAUGGGAGCCUACUUAGCAUAAACCCUUCACUUCGUUAUAAUGCAAGGGAAAAGAGUCACUCAUGGCAGCCUAUUUAGCAUUAAUGUCUCACAUCAAUAUAACACAAGAGAAAAGGUUAUUAGCAUUAGCUACUAGUGCUUAUUCACCUCAAAUUACCUUUAGCUGCUAAUGGCAGCCUACUUAGCAUUAACUCCUCACUAAUAUAAUGCUAAUUUACAUCAAAUUAGCAUUAGCUGC